Lineus longissimus is the source of this 308-nucleotide long non-coding RNA. RefSeq lists it as uncharacterized. The transcript has 3 exons. The record is from RefSeq and is a predicted model, not a curated record. Lineage: Eukaryota; Metazoa; Nemertea; Pilidiophora; Heteronemertea; Lineidae.
AAAAGGAAGCGUUGUGUCUUAAGCAAAAAGAUAUGCAGGUACGGCAGGAAGACGGUUUACAGAAACGAUCGCCAGGGAUGUCGACAGUGCUACCGAGUAUGCAAAAGCAAACCUGUUUGCAGAAGGAAGCGUUGUAGAUCGACUAGACAGAUAUGCAGGUAUGGCAGGAAGAAGGUUUACAGAAACGAUCGCCGGGGAUGUCGACAGUGUUACCGAGUAUGCAAAAGCAAACCUGUUUGCAGAAGGAAGCGUUGUAGAGCGACUAGACAGAAAUGCAGGUACGGCAGGAAGAAGGUUUACAGAAACGA